AAUACAUGCAAGUCGAACGCUUCUUUCCUCCCGAGUGCUUGCACUCAAUUGGAAAGAGGAGUGGCGGACGGGUGAGUAACACGUGGGUAACCUACCCAUCAGAGGGGGAUAACACUUGGAAACAGGUGCUAAUACCGCAUAACAGUUUAUGCCGCAUGGCAUAAGAGUGAAAGGCGCUUUCGGGUGUCGCUGAUGGAUGGACCCGCGGUGCAUUAGCUAGUUGGUGAGGUAACGGCUCACCAAGGCCGCGAUGCAUAGCCGACCUGAGAGGGUGAUCGGCCACACUGGGACUGAGACACGGCCCAGACUCCUACGGGAGGCAGCAGUAGGGAAUCUUCGGCAAUGGACGAAAGUCUGACCGAGCAACGCCGCGUGAGUGAAGAAGGUUUUCGGAUCGUAAAACUCUGUUGUUAGAGAAGAACAAGGACGUUAGUAACUGAACGUCCCCUGACGGUAUCUAACCAGAAAGCCACGGCUAACUACGUGCCA
RNAcentral lists this ribosomal RNA (489 nucleotides) under uncultured Enterococcus sp. RNAcentral's name for it is "bacterial SSU rRNA". It matches the Rfam family "Bacterial small subunit ribosomal RNA", at positions 50 to 510 of the family's 1533-position model. Lineage: Bacteria; Bacillati; Bacillota; Bacilli; Lactobacillales; Enterococcaceae. The record is from RNAcentral.